RNAcentral lists this ribosomal RNA (691 nucleotides) under uncultured beta proteobacterium. RNAcentral's name for it is "bacterial SSU rRNA". It matches the Rfam family "Bacterial small subunit ribosomal RNA", at positions 66 to 754 of the family's 1533-position model. The record is from RNAcentral. Lineage: Bacteria; Pseudomonadati; Pseudomonadota; Betaproteobacteria.
GCAGCACGGGUGCUUGCACCUGGUGGCGAGUGGCGAACGGGUGAGUAAUACAUCGGAACAUGUUCUGUAGUGGGGGAUAGCCCGGCGAAAGCCGGAUUAAUACCGCAUACGAUCUACGGAUGAAAGCGGGGGACCUUCGGGCCUCGCGCUAUAGGGUUGGCCGAUGGCUGAUUAGCUAGUUGGUGGGGUAAAGGCCUACCAAGGCGACGAUCAGUAGCUGGUCUGAGAGGACGACCAGCCACACUGGGACUGAGACACGGCCCAGACUCCUACGGGAGGCAGCAGUGGGGAAUUUUGGACAAUGGGCGAAAGCCUGAUCCAGCAAUGCCGCGUGUGUGAAGAAGGCCUUCGGGUUGUAAAGCACUUUUGUCCGGAAAGAAAUCCUUGGUUCUAAUAUAGCCGGGGGAUGACGGUACCGGAAGAAUAAGCACCGGCUAACUACGUGCCAGCAGCCGCGGUAAUACGUAGGGUGCGAGCGUUAAUCGGAAUUACUGGGCGUAAAGCGUGCGCAGGCGGUUUGCUAAGACCGAUGUGAAUCCCCGGGCUCAACCUGGGAACUGCAUUGGUGACUGGCAGGCUAGAGUAUGGCAGAGGGGGGUAGAAUUCCACGUGUAGCAGUGAAAUGCGUAGACAUGUGGAGGAAUACCGAUGGCGAAGGCAGCCCCCUGGGCCAAUACUGACGCUCAUGCAC